RNAcentral lists this ribosomal RNA (1346 nucleotides) under uncultured bacterium. Its description in RNAcentral is "bacterial SSU rRNA". It matches the Rfam family "Bacterial small subunit ribosomal RNA", at positions 28 to 1381 of the family's 1533-position model. The record is from RNAcentral.
GACGAACGCUGGCGGCGUGCUUAACACAUGCAAGUCGAACGGAAAGGCCCUGCUUUUGUGGGGUGCUCGAGUGGCGAACGGGUGAGUAACACGUGAGUAACCUGCCCUUGACUUUGGGAUAACUUCAGGAAACUGGGGCUAAUACCGGAUAGGAGCUCCUGCUGCAUGGUGGGGGUUGGAAAGUUUCGGCGGUUGGGGAUGGACUCGCGGCUUAUCAGCUUGUUGGUGGGGUAGUGGCUUACCAAGGCUUUGACGGGUAGCCGGCCUGAGAGGGUGACCGGCCACAUUGGGACUGAGAUACGGCCCAGACUCCUACGGGAGGCAGCAGUGGGGAAUAUUGCACAAUGGGCGGAAGCCUGAUGCAGCAACGCCGCGUGCGGGAUGACGGCCUUCGGGUUGUAAACCGCUUUCGCCUGUGACGAAGCGUGAGUGACGGUAAUGGGUAAAGAAGCACCGGCUAACUACGUGCCAGCAGCCGCGGUGAUACGUAGGGUGCGAGCGUUGUCCGGAUUUAUUGGGCGUAAAGGGCUCGUAGGUGGUUGAUCGCGUCGGAAGUGUAAUCUUGGGGCUUAACCCUGAGCGUGCUUUCGAUACGGGUUGACUUGAGGAAGGUAGGGGAGAAUGGAAUUCCUGGUGGAGCGGUGGAAUGCGCAGAUAUCAGGAGGAACACCAGUGGCGAAGGCGGUUCUCUGGGCCUUUCCUGACGCUGAGGAGCGAAAGCGUGGGGAGCGAACAGGCUUAGAUACCCUGGUAGUCCACGCUGUAAACGGUGGGUACUAGGUGUGGGGUCCAUUCCACGGGUUCCGUGCCGUAGCUAACGCUUUAAGUACCCCGCCUGGGGAGUACGGCCGCAAGGCUAAAACUCAAAGGAAUUGACGGGGCCCCGCACAAGCGGCGGAGCAUGCGGAUUAAUUCGAUGCAACGCGUAGAACCUUACCUGGGUUUGACAUGGAUCGGGAGUGCUCAGAGAUGGGUGUGCCUCUUUUGGGGUCGGUUCACAGGUGGUGCAUGCCUGUCGUCAGCUCGUGUCGUGAGAUGUUGGGUUAAGUCCCGCAACGAGCGCAACCCUUGUUCACUGUUGCCAGCACGUUAUGGUGGGGACUCAGUGGAGACCGCCGGGGUCAACUCGGAGGAAGGUGGGGAUGACGUCAAGUCCUCAUGCCCCUUAUGUCCAGGGCUUCACGCAUGCUACAAUGGCUGGUACAGAGAGUGGCGAGCCUGUGAGGGUGAGCGAAUCUCGGAAAGCCGGUCUCAGUUCGGAUUGAGGUCUGCAACUCGACCUCAUGAAGUCGGAGUCGCUAGUAAUCGCAGAUCAGCAACGCUGCGGUGAAUACGUUCCCGGGGCU